UUAUGUUAGCCACGUUAUGCUGUCAAAAUUUUAUUGAUUAGUGGGUGAUUUAAUUAGCCACUACAGUAGGCGGGUUUUCGUGGACCAGCCUAUUAGAGGGGCACGGUAAACCCCGUUAUAUUUACCUUAGUAUGAGAGGCACGAAAGAUAUCUCCUAAGGCACGAUAGUGUUCACUUCACGCCGAACCACCACUUGAGGAUGAACUCUGCCAAC
Molecule: long non-coding RNA, 214 nt
Filed under: Theobroma cacao (cacao)
Lineage: Eukaryota; Viridiplantae; Streptophyta; Magnoliopsida; Malvales; Malvaceae
Description: long non-coding RNA (TCAC_LNC002615)
Source: RNAcentral